GUGGGCGGCGCUCCGAGGGAACCCUUCCGGGGGCGAAGAGCCGGAGUUUGCUCGGGGGCGGAGGCCGCGGGCCGCCCUCGUCUGCCCCUGGGCCGUUUUUAUGCCCCGGUAUGCCCCUUCACGCCGCUCCCUGCCGAGGCUGGAAGCGGCAGCGGUUUACCAACCAGACGCAGCUGUAAAGUUCUGCACGUGUUAUGUGUUGGUUUGCUUAAGGCAACGCACGGCUUGCUGUACACAGAUGCAUGUUCUGCCCCUAAGAGAUGAUGAAGAUGGAAGUUCGUGGCUUGCUCCUUGCUUCUCAGAUAUGGACAGGUGACAACCUACAAGCCACGUGAGCGAUCCUGGUGUCCUGCAGCCACCUCGCCACUCUCUACCAAUAGUCCAAGUGUGGGGGACACAGGAGUGUCUUGGUGAUGGGAUGACAGCCUUGCUGCAUGUCAGGCUCCUGAAGCCGGUGAAGGAGAAACAGCAGUCUGAGGUGAAACAACAUUCAACAAAACCUCAUCAAAUGCUUUCAGAGGUCUCUGAAAAAAUUACUGUUGUGCUUAAAAAUUGAAUAUUAUCUACUAAACUUUAUUUUCGUUUGAAACCUGACUGUCCCAUCCUCCCCGUUUUCAUCUAAGAAUGAAAAUGACACGUUACAUUAAAGGUACUGCUACCUCUCUAUAAGUAAUUACUCUAAAAAUAUAGCAGUUCUUACAUGCACAUCGCUGUGAUUGCAGUAUUUGGCCAGGGAUGAAAACAAUCAUCUGAUUACUUGCAUACUUACAGUGUUAUGCAGAAGUCUGAUGGAUUAAAGGAUUUUCUGAGGCCAAAACUAAUAUCCGUAUUCUCUCGUUCUUUGUUUUUAAAUUAAGUUUUGCUUUUGUUUUUUUUUUAAAGCAUCUGAGGAGUGAAACUGUCCAUGGCUUUAGAAAGAUUUUCCUCAAAUCAUUUGAGUGCGUACUUUUUAAUUGUCAGCCAAUCUCAUCUAGAGAUAAAAUCUGUGAAGAUUUGAUAGGAUUUAAGCGGUCUGCCUGUUUUAGGCAGAUUCUUAUUAUGAUUGAAAGAAACGAGGAAAAGAAUGAUGAUAUUCCCAUUUCUAAAACAGUCUUUGCUCUUACUGUGUUUGUUGUUUAUACCCAUUCCAGCCUUAGUACACUGAAUUAAGGUUAAGCUACCUUAAAGCAGAGAAUGUAAGGACUUUGUCAUCAGUUACGCAAAAGUGUAUAUGAAAGUGAAGUAUUUCCCUUUGAUACAGAACACGGAAGUGGAGCAUCUGAAAAAUAAGAAUUGUAAUUAAAAUUCAUACACAUCUUCCUUUUUUCAAAGCAUCUCCUCUCAGCACUGACAUACUGACAGCCCGAAACACUUAUCUGUAAUGUUCUUUUAGACUCUUUCCAGUAAUGCAUUGAGUACUGUCACCAUUUGGCAAAUUACUCACUGGUGUUUCAGUGUGCCAUUGCUGUUGCUUUUCACUUGGGAUUAUUAAAAAGCUCCUAUAGCUGAUCUACAAGGGCAAAAUCGAGACAUUCUGGAUACAAGGGCUAUUUUUUCAGUCCAGUUGAGGAGGAUGAUUUGUAGCAACUGUGCAUAUGGCACUAAUUAAUGGGAUUUGAGUAGACUUUGGCAUAGCUUCCUGCCUAAAGAAGAAGAAAAGAGGUAACAACAGAUUUGCUGUGUGCCUUUCACUGCUUCUUAUGGAAUGUUAUAUGUACUCCUGAAGUUUUUAUUUUCAAUCAUAGUCACAUAGUCAUUUCUGCAGUAAUUUUAUCAGAUGGAUAGGACGUUCAAGCAACUUUUGAAAAUUCCUUGUGCUCUGCAUUAUGAAGUCUGUUAGUCAUACUUGGCACAGACUACAAAUCUGAGCCUGAUUUUCAGGCUUUCAAAGGGCCAAAAUAAAAUUAUUGUUCUCUAAUACAUUUUUUCUUCACAUUUAUUCGAGUGUGCAUUAGCUGUACAUCCAACAAAAUUGCAUUUUACUCCUUCGUUUUAGGCUUAAGUAGCAGUCGCAGGAGAUUAAAUGCAGUUAAGCAUAACGAAGCGUGAGGAUGACAAGAAAAAUGAAGCAGAGGUGCCUUAUCUCCCAAUUCAUCGCAGUACAAAUUUUAUAUUCCAGACACAAAUGCCACUUUGGGAUUGAAAUCGUACUACGUGAAUCCGUGUGAUUUGCAGUGGCAACAUGCUAAUGGUGUGAAUUAGUCGUUAGUUCAUGACUCUGAGGAAAAGGACCACAUGAAAAUUGUAAGUUAGAAUUCUAUUAGCAGGACUGAGUCUCUUCAUUCUCAGUGCAGAAGUGCAGUACAACAGAAGAACAAAUACAUUCUGCAGGUGGAGAGAAGAGCCGUGGGUUCAUGGUAAGGACAGCAUCCAUCUGCCCCAGGUAAAUCUAAGCCCAUCUUCCCAGCUUGUAGGUGCCUUUGUUUACCUUUUGCUCCAUAACAAACCCAGAAACUCCCUGAUAAAAUUCCCUUCGGAUCAUGACCGUAGAGAAAUCCAUUCUGCAUUCUUAAAGCUUUUGUGGCAGAUAGCUUGUAAGCUGUAAGCAUAAAAAUCACGUACAAAUAAAUAAAUGUUGAGAGAGAAAUUAUGUGACAUAAAGUGUAUGUGAAAAUUAAUGUUGAAAAUGCUCUGAAUACGGGGAAGAAAUGAAAGGAUAGUUCCACGGCAGCAGCUGUAUCUGUUUUACCUUGAGAUUGUUAUCUCUGUAACUGAUUACAUCUCAAAAUCUUAAAACCAUUGACAGUUGUUAAGGGGAAACAAACUUGUGCAUUUGGCCAUGGCAGGUCUUUCCUGCUGUAAGCUUCACAGGAGUUUCUACCUCCACACUGAUCUUUUCUUACAGCACUCUUAGGUGAUGUGUCUUCUCUUGUGCUUGUAAUCAUCUUUCCCUUCUAUUAUAUAUAAUAGGUAAUGUAUAUGUAUAUGCAAUAUAUAAAAUGCUCAAAAAGCUCACGAUUUAAGAGUAAUUAAGAUAUUACUACCUCAGAAACACAAAAUGUCACUCUUAUGUGCUCAUACUUGUUCUGCUGAGCCAGCCCAUCUCAGUGACAGAGGGAAGUGCAGAUAAUACAGACUGGCAUCAAGCAGUAGCUAUUCCUGUAAGCAGACAGAGCAGAAGUUAUCGCUGCAUUUCUUGACACAGAAACACAUGGAUGGCUCUGUACUGUGUGAAAAAAACACUGUAUUGCUGUGUGCUUAUGACAAAAAAAUAAGAAUCCUUUGUCAAUAGGAUACCAUUAUUUUUGGAUAAACAAAACCAAAAUCAAAAAAGAGCAAAUAAGCGGAUAUAUGCGAUGCAUGACACACAGUCCCAUAUGAUCAACAUCAGUUAUUUUGGCAAUCUACUUUCAGAAAUGGGAGUUUUCACAAGAGUGAAAAUUGCUUCUACAUCACUUGGAAGUGGAGCUUACUGCUGUCAGGUUGCCAGAACUCUUAAACGAGUGCUCAAGCAUCACUCCCUCUUUCGGUGAUUUCAUAUAUUUAUACUUACUGUCACAACUAGGGGAGGAUCAGCAAGGAUUUGUUCCUUGUUCAGAAGAUCACGGAGUCUGCUACCUGCCAGCACGCUCCGCUUCCAGCAGCGGAAGCUCUUACUCAUCACCAAUCUUGUCCCUGACAUACUUCAGCAUCCAACAGUUCUUUCACACCUUCCGGGCUCCUAUAUUUAGGAAUUUCUUCUUCUCCCCGGUUGGCUCCAAGCCAGAAACAUAUCCCCUUACGUGGAAGAUUCUUAACUUUGCUCACGCUGCUUUUUUGACAUUUGCUUUCUUGUUUGACAGGAUUCUUGAAUACUGGCUUGCAGCAUCCCAGAUCUGUAGUGCCAGAGAGAGAUGUGGACAGACCUUUGAUCUCGAGGGCCAGAAUUUGGUCACAUUCACAAACACGUUUGGAAGCUUGCAAAUGUGGCCAAGAGAGGGAAUAGGGGAUGUCACUGAUGAGCUGUGCAGAAAUGUCACCUCCUGGAGAACCAUCUAAUAGAUGGACUACAUCCGAGUUCUGCUAAUGCUCUCCAUCAAGCAGACACAUUUAGCACUGCUGCAGUCACAGCUGGAAUACACAGCACAGCAGCAUAUGUUGAAAUCCAGGACGCCCAGUUCAACAGGGAAGAGUGAGUAAUAUAAAUGGCAUUAACUGAAAUUAAUUUCAGGAUGUUCUUCGAUGGAAAGCAUGCUCAUAUCUCAAAAUCAGUCCAUUCAGCAGGCAAAUAAACGGUUUCAACAUUUUUCAGGGAAAUCUCAGUAGCAUUCCUUGGGCUUGUAGGUCAUGCUUAGUACAGUCAAGCAGGCUUAAAUGCAACGUUAAUUACAGUUUUUUUUCCUUUUACAUAUUUUGAAUGGAACAUGACAACAAACGUACACAUUCUUGUGUUUCUGAUGCAUUCUUUUCUUGCAGAAGCCCCAGUUGGUAGUAAAGCAGUUCGCAGCACAGACCUUUCUGUGGAGAAGCUCAUGCAGCCGGCCGGCCAGCAAGCAGUUCUCACACUGCAGCAUCAUGCUUAGCUGUGUCAAGCAACAUAUAAAUCAUGAAGACAAAGUGCUGUUGAGCAACAAGGCAGCUUUUCCCAGCCAGGUCAGUAAGAAGAAACCACAGUUAUCAAAUCAGUGUCUUGGCAUUGAAGCUGCACAGCACCUCAGUGGAGCAGGUUAGUGGGAUCGGGUCCCUUCCUCCAGAGGAAGGUUUGUGCUGCUGUUUGGCCUCACCCACCUUCAGGCAGCUGAGUUUCUGUUGACUCGAAAGGAAAGCAAAAAGUCUGAAAUGCUGCUAAAAGGCCUCGUAUUGUCUGACAUCCUGUGACAAGAAAAAAAUAAACAACUUUGACCAC
Gallus gallus (chicken) is the source of this 4804-nucleotide long non-coding RNA. NCBI's taxonomy places the organism in Eukaryota, Metazoa, Chordata, Aves, Galliformes, Phasianidae. The record is from Ensembl.